UUCUUAGACCUGUGCAACGAUAUUUUUAAGCACCGUUUCAGGGUAGGAAUACAGCAGAACACUUGAUCUUAGCGUGUGCCGCAGCAAUCUGGGAAGGG
RNAcentral lists this signal recognition particle RNA (98 nucleotides) under Campylobacter hominis. RNAcentral's name for it is "signal recognition particle sRNA small type". It matches the Rfam family "Bacterial small signal recognition particle RNA". Rfam says of the family: The signal recognition particle (SRP) is a universally conserved ribonucleoprotein involved in the co-translational targeting of proteins to membranes. Archaeal SRP consists of a 7S RNA and homologues of the eukaryotic SRP19 and SRP54 proteins. In most bacteria, the SRP consists of a 4.5S RNA and the Ffh protein (a homologue of the eukaryotic SRP54 protein). Lineage: Bacteria; Pseudomonadati; Campylobacterota; Epsilonproteobacteria; Campylobacterales; Campylobacteraceae. The record is from RNAcentral. RNAcentral also lists the same sequence under 1 other name.